GUUUUAAUAGUUUACAAAAAACUUUGGUCUUGUAAACCAACAAUGAAUCAGUUUAUUCUUAAAACU
This 66-nucleotide transfer RNA is filed under the name Trapezia guttata. RNAcentral's name for it is "tRNA-Thr". Lineage: Eukaryota; Metazoa; Arthropoda; Malacostraca; Decapoda; Trapeziidae. The record is from RNAcentral.